This 270-nucleotide ribosomal RNA is filed under the name Triticum aestivum (bread wheat). Its description in RNAcentral is "partial small subunit ribosomal RNA". Lineage: Eukaryota; Viridiplantae; Streptophyta; Magnoliopsida; Poales; Poaceae. The record is from RNAcentral.
AGCUUCAAGAAUACGCGGAGGAGGUGGCCCGGGUCGGCGUCGGCGCCGUCCGGCGCGGGCCACGGGCCCGCUUCCAAGUGCGUCUGCGCGCCGGCCACCCACGCCGGGUCCUUCAAGUGCCGCUUCCACCGCACCAACUCCCAGGGCCACGGCCACAGCCAAGGCCAGGGAAGCCGCCCUUCUUCGCCCCCUUCACCGGCCAUGGCCAACGCGGUGCCACGACACCCGGCCUCGCCGUCCUCGUCCUCCGACACCGUCGCGACCCAGUGA